RNAcentral lists this ribosomal RNA (253 nucleotides) under uncultured bacterium. RNAcentral's name for it is "partial 16S ribosomal RNA". It matches the Rfam family "Bacterial small subunit ribosomal RNA", at positions 524 to 776 of the family's 1533-position model. The record is from RNAcentral.
UACGUAGGGUGCAAGCGUUAAUCGGAAUUACUGGGCGUAAAGCGUGCGCAGGCGGUUGUGCAAGACAGGUGUGAAAUCCCCGGGCUUAACCUGGGAACUGCGCUUGUUACUGGCAGGCUUGAGUGUGGCAGAGGGGGGUGGAAUUCCACGUGUAGCAGUGAAAUGCGUAGAGAUGUGGAGGAACACCGAUGGCGAAGGCAGCCCCCUGGGCUAACACUGACGCUCAUGCACGAAAGCGUGGGGAGCAAACAGG